UUGAUUCUUCUUUCUAAAUCUGUAUAAAAAGGAUAUUUUCUGGAGGCAGAGCUGCUGCGAGAAGAAGACCCAGGAGAUCUGGGGCAGCGAGCUGUGCGUCUGACAGCGCAGGUCCAGCAGCGUGGGCCCCAGGAAGGCGAUGCACAGGCCGAAGCUGAAGAAGACGCUCCAGUAGGUGAGCGUGGGCUGCAGGUUGCGGCGGAGCAGCCCCGACACGCGGCCGUCGCAGCCCAUGG
This 236-nucleotide long non-coding RNA is filed under the name Homo sapiens (human). Its description in RNAcentral is "HSALNT0020555". The record is from RNAcentral. Lineage: Eukaryota; Metazoa; Chordata; Mammalia; Primates; Hominidae.